This is a long non-coding RNA of Erigeron canadensis, 437 nucleotides long. RefSeq lists it as uncharacterized. The transcript has 2 exons. The record is from RefSeq and is a predicted model, not a curated record. NCBI's taxonomy places the organism in Eukaryota, Viridiplantae, Streptophyta, Magnoliopsida, Asterales, Asteraceae.
CGAACGCAUGGCCUGAUUAUUUGUUGGAGCACUCUUCUUCUCUGGCUGCUUCAUACUUGCUCAGUCCCUUCAAUUGCCAAAAGAAAGUUUUUGAUGAGCUUGAAAUGAUGAUGAUGAAAAACAAAGGUGUUGGAGUUGAAGAAAUAUUAUAAAGAAUCUUUAGUUGGGAUUGGCAGCAGGCAGCAGCUUCUUCUUGAACUUUAAAAAACUUUUAGAUAAUACUUUUUAUUAUUCUUCAAUUCUGUACUCUUUUUCUCACACACGGAUAUCUAUAGAUAUAGAGAUAUAUAUGGUCUUGUUAUAAAAGUACUGCUGAAAAAAAGUGACGGUGAAAGGUGGGGAAUGGCAAACCAAGGCAAAUAGUUCUGCCAUCCAAAUUUGUUGUAAUAAAUUAUUUGUUGGAUAUUUUAUCGACAAUCAUAGGUUUUUGAAAUAAA